RNAcentral lists this ribosomal RNA (465 nucleotides) under Vreelandella stevensii. RNAcentral's name for it is "partial 16S ribosomal RNA". It matches the Rfam family "Bacterial small subunit ribosomal RNA", at positions 338 to 795 of the family's 1533-position model. The record is from RNAcentral. Lineage: Bacteria; Pseudomonadati; Pseudomonadota; Gammaproteobacteria; Oceanospirillales; Halomonadaceae.
CCUACGGGCGGCUGCAGUGGGGAAUAUUGGACAAUGGGCGAAAGCCUGAUCCAGCCAUGCGGCGUGUGUGAAGAAGGCCUUCGGGUUGUAGAGCACUUUCAGUGGGGAAGAAAGCCUUGGGGCUAAUACCCUCGAGGAAGGACAUCACCCACAGAAGAAGCACCGGCUAACUCCGUGCCAGCAGCCGCGGUAAUACGGAGGGUGCGAGCGUUAAUCGGAAUUACUGGGCGUAAAGCGCGCGUAGGCGGUCUGAUAAGCCGGUUGUGAAAGCCCCGGGCUCAACCUGGGAACGGCAUCCGGAACUGUCAGGCUAGAGUGCAGGAGAGGAAGGUAGAAUUCCCGGUGUAGCGGUGAAAUGCGUAGAGAUCGGGAGGAAUACCAGUGGCGAAGGCGGCCUUCUGGACUGACACUGACGCUGAGGUGCGAAAGCGUGGGUAGCAAACAGGAUUAGAUACCCCUGUAGUC